RNAcentral lists this ribosomal RNA (492 nucleotides) under uncultured bacterium. RNAcentral's name for it is "partial 16S ribosomal RNA". It matches the Rfam family "Bacterial small subunit ribosomal RNA", at positions 29 to 507 of the family's 1533-position model. The record is from RNAcentral.
AGUGAACGCUGGCGGUAGGCCUAACACAUGCAAGUCGAACGGCAGCACAGUAAGAGCUUGCUCUUACGGGUGGCGAGUGGCGUACGGGUGAGGAAUACAUCGGAAUCUACUUUUUCGUGGGGGAUAACGUAGGUAAACUUACGCUAAUACCGCAUACGACCUACGGGUGAAAGCAGUGGAUCUUCGGACCUUGCGCGAUUGAAUGAGCCGAUGUCGGAUUAGCUAGUUGGCGGGGUAAAGGCCCACCAAGUCGACGAUCCGUAGCUGGUCUGAGAGGAUGAUCAGCCACACUGGAACUGAGACACGGUCCAGACUCCUACGGGAGGCAGCAGUGGGGAAUAUUGGACAAUGGGCGCAAGCCUGAUCCAGCCAUACCGCGUGGGUGAAGAAGGCCUUCGGGUUGUAAAGCCCUUUUGUUGGGAAAGAAAAGCAGCAGGUUAAUACCCCGCUGUUCUGACGGUACCCAAAGAAUAAGCACCGGCUAACUUCGUG